GGACGAACGCUGGCGGCGUGCCUAAUACAUGCAAGUUGAACGUCAACAAAGACACCAGAGCUUGCUCUACCGUCUUUGUUGAGUAGCGAACGGGUGAGUAACGCGUGGGUAACCUGCCUUAUAGCGGGGGAUAACUAUUGGAAACGAUAGCUAAUACCGCAUAACAAUAGAGAUUGCAUAAUCUUUAUUUGAAAGUGCCAACUGGUACACUAUGAGAUGGACCCGCGUUGUAUUAGCUAGUUGGUAGUGUAAUGGACUACCAAGGCGAUGAUACAUAGCCGACCUGAGAGGGUGAUCGGCCACAUUGGGACUGAGACACGGCCCAAACUCCUACGGGAGGCAGCAGUAGGGAAUCUUCGGCAAUGGACGAAAGUCUGACCGAGCAACGCCGCGUGAGUGAAGAAGGUUUCGGAUCGUAAAACUCUGUUGUUAGAGAAGAAUGUUGAUUAGAGUGGAAAAUUAAUCAAGUGACGGUAUCUAACCAGAAAGGGACGGCUAACUACGUG
Molecule: ribosomal RNA, 506 nt
Filed under: uncultured bacterium
Lineage: Bacteria
Description: bacterial SSU rRNA
Rfam family: Bacterial small subunit ribosomal RNA
Source: RNAcentral